This 755-nucleotide ribosomal RNA is filed under the name uncultured bacterium. RNAcentral describes it as "bacterial SSU rRNA". It matches the Rfam family "Bacterial small subunit ribosomal RNA", at positions 28 to 776 of the family's 1533-position model. The record is from RNAcentral.
GAUGAACGCUAGCUACAGGCUUAACACAUGCAAGUCGAGGGGCAUCAGGAUGUAGCAAUACAUUGCUGGCGACCGGCGCACGGGUGAGUAACACGUAUCCAACCUGCCUUUUACUAGGGGAUAGCCUUGCGAAAGUAAGAUUAAUACCCGGCGGUCUCGGAUGGCCGCAUGACUGUCCGAGUGAAGAUUUAUCGGUAUGAGAUGGCGAUGCGUCCCAUUAGCUUGUUGGUGGGGUAACGGCUCACCAAGGCAUCGAUGGGUAGGGGUUCUGAGAGGAAGGUCCCCCACAUUGGAACUGAGACACGGUCCAAACUCCUACGGGAGGCAGCAGUGAGGAAUAUUGGUCAAUGGACGCAAGUCUGAACCAGCCAAGUAGCGUGCAGGAUGACGGCCCUCUGGGUUGUAAACUGCUUUUAGUUGGGAAUAAAAAGAGGGACGUGUCCCUUAUUGUAUGUACCAUCAGAAAAAGGACCGGCUAAUUCCGUGCCAGCAGCCGCGGUAAUACGGAAGGUCCAGGCGUUAUCCGGAUUUAUUGGGUUUAAAGGGAGCGCAGGCGGCGGCGUAAGUCAGUUGUGAAAUCGUGCGGCUUAACCGUGCAAUUGCAGUUGAUACUGCGUCGCUUGAGUGCACACAGGGAUGUUGGAAUUCAUGGUGUAGCGGUGAAAUGCUUAGAUAUCAUGAAGAACUCCGAUCGCGAAGGCAUAUGUCCGGAGUGCAACUGACGCUGAGGCUCGAAAGUGUGGGUAUCAAACAGG